AGUUUGAUCGAUUGGCUCAGGACGAACGCUGGCGGCGCGCCUAACACAUGCAAGUCGAACGAGAGAUGAGGAGCUUGCUCUUCAAAUCGAGUGGCGAACGGGUGAGUAACGCGUGAGGAACCUGCCUCAAAGAGGGGGACAACAGUUGGAAACGACUGCUAAUACCGCAUAAGCCCACGGCUCGGCAUCGAGCAGAGGGAAAAGGAGCAAUCCGCUUUGAGAUGGCCUCGCGUCCGAUUAGCUAGUUGGUGAGGUAAUGGCCCACCAAGGCGACGAUCGGUAGCCGGACUGAGAGGUUGAACGGCCACAUUGGGACUGAGACACGGCCCAGACUCCUACGGGAGGCAGCA
This 350-nucleotide ribosomal RNA is filed under the name uncultured bacterium. Its description in RNAcentral is "bacterial SSU rRNA". It matches the Rfam family "Bacterial small subunit ribosomal RNA", at positions 10 to 353 of the family's 1533-position model. The record is from RNAcentral.